This 76-nucleotide transfer RNA is filed under the name Paenibacillus sp. DMB20. Its description in RNAcentral is "tRNA-Lys". It matches the Rfam family "tRNA". Rfam says of the family: Transfer RNA (tRNA) molecules are approximately 80 nucleotides in length. Their secondary structure includes four short double-helical elements and three loops (D, anti-codon, and T loops). Further hydrogen bonds mediate the characteristic L-shaped molecular structure. tRNAs have two regions of fundamental functional importance: the anti-codon, which is responsible for specific mRNA codon recognition, and the 3' end, to which the tRNAs corresponding amino acid is attached (by aminoacyl-tRNA synthetases). tRNAs cope with the degeneracy of the genetic code in two manners: having more than one tRNA (with a specific anti-codon) for a particular amino acid; and 'wobble' base-pairing, i.e. permitting non-standard base-pairing at the 3rd anti-codon position. Lineage: Bacteria; Bacillati; Bacillota; Bacilli; Caryophanales; Paenibacillaceae. The record is from RNAcentral.
GGGUUCUUAGCUCAGUUGGCAGAGCAGUUGACUCUUAAUCAUCAGGUCGAGGGUUCGACCCCCUCAGAACCCAUCA